UGCAAGUAGAACGCUGAAGAGAGGAGCUUGCUCUUCUUGGAUGAGUUGCGAACGGGUGAGUAACGCGUAGGUAACCUGCCUUGUAGCGGGGGAUAACUAUUGGAAACGAUAGCUAAUACCGCAUAACAAUGGAUGACACAUGUCAUUUAUUUGAAAGGGGCAAUUGCUCCACUACAAGAUGGACCUGCGUUGUAUUAGCUAGUAGGUGAGGUAACGGCUCACCUAGGCGACGAUACAUAGCCGACCUGAGAGGGUGAUCGGCCACACUGGGACUGAGACACGGCCCAGACUCCUACGGGAGGCAGCAGUAGGGAAUCUUCGGCAAUGGGGGCAACCCUGACCGAGCAACGCCGCGUGAGUGAAGAAGGUUUUCGGAUCGUAAAGCUCUGUUGUAAGUCAAGAACGAGUGUGAGAGUGGAAAGUUCACACUGUGACGGUAGCUUACCAGAAAGGGACGGCUAACUACGUGCCAGCAGCCGCGGUAAUACGUAGGUCCCGAGCGUUGUCCGGAUUUAUUGGGCGUAAAGCGAGCGCAGGCGGUUUGAUAAGUCUGAAGUUAAAGGCUGUGGCUCAACCAUAGUUCGCUUUGGAAACUGUCAAACUUGAGUGCAGAAGGGGAGAGUGGAAUUCCAUGUGUAGCGGUGAAAUGCGUAGAUAUAUGGAGGAACACCGGUGGCGAAAGCGGCUCUCUGGUCUGUAACUGACGCUGAGGCUCGAAAGCGUGGGGAGCGAACAGGAUUAGAUACCCUGGUAGUCCACGCCGUAAACGAUGAGUGCUAGGUGUUGGAUCCUUUCCGGGAUUCAGUGCCGCAGCUAACGCAUUAAGCACUCCGCCUGGGGAGUACGACCGCAAGGUUGAAACUCAAAGGAAUUGACGGGGGCCCGCACAAGCGGUGGAGCAUGUGGUUUAAUUCGAAGCAACGCGAAGAACCUUACCAGGUCUUGACAUCCCGAUGCUAUUUCUAGAGAUAGAAAGUUACUUCGGUACAUCGGUGACAGGUGGUGCAUGGUUGUCGUCAGCUCGUGUCGUGAGAUGUUGGGUUAAGUCCCGCAACGAGCGCAACCCCUAUUGUUAGUUGCCAUCAUUCAGUUGGGCACUCUAGCGAGACUGCCGGUAAUAAACCGGAGGAAGGUGGGGAUGACGUCAAAUCAUCAUGCCCCUUAUGACCUGGGCUACACACGUGCUACAAUGGUUGGUACAACGAGUUGCGAGUCGGUGACGGCAAGCUAAUCUCUUAAAGCCAAUCUCAGUUCGGAUUGUAGGCUGCAACUCGCCUACA
Molecule: ribosomal RNA, 1280 nt
Filed under: Streptococcus salivarius
Lineage: Bacteria; Bacillati; Bacillota; Bacilli; Lactobacillales; Streptococcaceae
Description: bacterial SSU rRNA
Rfam family: Bacterial small subunit ribosomal RNA
Source: RNAcentral